AUGGGGCAACUUGGGUCUGAUCCAACCGCAGCCGUUGGCAAAUGGGAGGCACCGCCAAGCAGCAGCGCUCGGUGGCUUGUAGGGAGCAAGCUCGUGAUUUCGGUCCAAAUCUUGCUGGGGGGUUUGCCUGCACCGGGAGGGGUGAGGGCACAGCACAGUCCCUGCCCAGCACAGGGCCGGGGGCGGCGUUCCAGCACAGCGUUCUGGCAGAGGCAGGUACGCCAUGCAGCCUGGCAGCACGCAGCUCCAAACAGAAACCACCACCCACAGACAGCCCGAAGAACAAAGUACCACUGUUUUCCUGCCCCAGACGCAUGCAUGCCCCAUCUCCUCUCUCACACCAAAAAUAGCUUCUACUUUUUCUUCCCUUUUGGCAACAACAAACCAGAGUUGGAGCACUUUCAGUACACCGAACGCGUUUUGCAGGAGUUAUCGUUCACACUGAAACUCAGUCCCAUCUAUCGCCGCCGUUACAGACCCCCACCGCGCACCGCCUCCCCCUGCCCCGCCAUGGCGGCCGGGCUCGGCUCCCAGCACGAGGCGCAGCCCUGCACAGCCCAGCGCUGCCCCGGGGUGAGUCAGCAGCGCAGCCCGGAGCUCCGGGACAGCCUCCCCGCAGCCGUCCGCUCUCGUCGUCGCUUUCAGAUCAAACGGAAGCGCCGACCCCAACCCGAGGAUCGCCCCGUCCCCAAACCCGGCCCAAAGCCCCGCGCUCGGCACAACCGCGACGCCUUCGAGCGCGACACGCACUUCUGUCCACGAGGAUCCACGCGCCGCGCGGAGAGCCCGAACCGCGGGCAGCGGCGGAGGAAACCGCCCCGGGAGGGGCUGCGGCGCUCCGAGCCGCCCCGACGCGCAGCUUCAGAGCGGGGGCCCGGCUCACUGCCUCGCGGGUGCGCGGGGCACAGCACAGCACGGCGCGGCGCGGCGCACACUUGUUGCCGCGCGCCCGCGGAGCCGCGCGGAGGCGGAGCGCAGCCGCAGGCCCGGCCCGCAGCCGGUGCUCCCGCC
This 1011-nucleotide long non-coding RNA is filed under the name Phasianus colchicus (ring-necked pheasant). RNAcentral's name for it is "lncRNA (ENSPCLG00000005063.1)". Lineage: Eukaryota; Metazoa; Chordata; Aves; Galliformes; Phasianidae. The record is from RNAcentral.